MicroRNA from Caenorhabditis elegans, 22 nucleotides. NCBI's taxonomy places the organism in Eukaryota, Metazoa, Nematoda, Chromadorea, Rhabditida, Rhabditidae. The record is from Ensembl.
ACUGCUCAAAGGACUUUGCUGC